This 1064-nucleotide unclassified non-coding RNA is filed under the name Hevea brasiliensis (rubber tree). Lineage: Eukaryota; Viridiplantae; Streptophyta; Magnoliopsida; Malpighiales; Euphorbiaceae. The record is from RNAcentral.
CUUUACCUUUGAGUUUUUGGUUUCUGGGGUAGGUAGCUUAGAAGAGAAGAAAAGGGGCUUGGGAGAUGGGAUCUGUUGAAUUUGCAAAAAGCAAAGGAGAAGAAGAGAGAAAUGAUGUGGGUGCUGAGGUUUCAUUGGUAAAAGAUGGAUUAAAUGUAGAUUAUAAUCUCGUGGAAUGUUAAUUAGAAAAAAUUAGCUAUAUUUUUAGGGGAGCAGGUGGAGACUUGAAUGCUAUUGCGUACAGUAUUAUCUUUAAUUCUUUGCUUCAUUAUCUUUAAGGACAUUUUGUUUUGUUCUGAAGUCAAUUGCAAUGGAAAUCCUAGAAUAGAGUUCUACUUUUUGGCUGGCUAUUCGUUGAUUUCAUUUAGAUAGGAAUUUCCAAUUUUGAGUUCAAGAAAUUACCUGUACAUUAAGUCUGAUGCUUCCAAAUAGUGGUACUGAACAGGAAAUCUGACUGACACUUUUUUUCCCCAAUUCUAUUUCUAGAAAACCAAAAAAGAGUGCAAGUGUAUUCUCUGGAUUGUGUCUCUGGAAUUCAAAAUGGAUGCAUCUUGAUGGAUAAUAUAUAGAUAUACUCCCUUUAGUUUUCUUGUAAAUUUUGGACUUGUAAUAGUUGAGGCAAGGGAGAAUUUGAUCUUGCAACCUUGUCUUCAAUGAGGAGUGUGGUCAAUUAGGCUAUGCACUCUUAGUUUAUCUUAUGUAAAUAAUGGCUAGAUUGGAAUUUUGGCCUUUGGGUUCCAUGGGCGGCAUAGAUUCUGAAGGAUUAUAAUGAAUGAAUUUACAUGAAAAAGAAUGUUAUUAGUUCCCAUUUAAUGAAACAGACAAGAUUUCUAACUUGCAGUGAGUUACACGAUUCCUAUAUCCCUGAAAAGGGGUAGAUCAUCUUAUAUUUAGUCUGAAGGUUGGCACAGUUAAUUGUAUUUGGAAUUUUAGAAAGCAAAGGUUAGGAGUUGUAUUCAAUAGUGAUCUUGUUUCUCUGUCUUGUUUGAUCCCUCCCCUUGUCACUCUUAAUGUCAAAAAGAAAAAUAUUUAUUGCAUGAUCAAUUUAAGUACUUCCAUUUGGG